RNA transcript from Clupea harengus (Atlantic herring), 3231 nucleotides. It is a transcript of the gene named patr class I histocompatibility antigen, A-5 alpha chain-like, with no coding region annotated. The record is from RefSeq and is a predicted model, not a curated record. Lineage: Eukaryota; Metazoa; Chordata; Actinopteri; Clupeiformes; Clupeidae.
UGCCCUAGUGUUUCUGUGUCCUCGGUGCCACAAGCAAAGGGCUGUUUGUUGAAACGUUACAAAUGUUUUGUUUUGAAGGGCCUGGAAUUUGGCCUUUGGUGGGGCAAAUAUACAGUCCUGCUCACCAUUAUUGGCACCCAUGAAGUUUAAGUACAUAAUGUGGAAUAUCUCCUGAAAAAAAUGAAUCUAGUGAAACAACUUUUUUCUAUAGAGAAUUUGUGUUUGAUACAAAAGAGCAAAUGAUAAACAACAAUUUAAAACAAUAAACAAUGGGGGGGGGGGGAAUAGAAAACUGAAAGCUUGCUGUGUCACUAACAUUGGCACCCUUUUCUGUAAAUCAGUAUGGAAACUCAUUAUGACUCACCUGUGGUAAAUCACAAAUGAGAAUCACCUGUGAUAAAUUGUCUGUGCCCAUGUGACAUGAAUUAGCCAAUGAAUGAUGACUCCCGUGUUUUAAAAAGCCACCUGUUAUUCCCUGUUCCUUUGUCACAAUGGUGAAGACAAAGGAGCUGUCUGAGGACAUCAGAAGGGCUAUUAUUAGCUUACACAAGACCUCCAAAGGAUAUAAGGCCAUAUCCAAAGACCUUGGUGUCCCUGUUUCAACAGUGCGUAAUGUUAAGAAGUUUGCCAAGCAUGGAACUGUCAAGAACCUCCCUGGACGUGGGGGGAAGUCUUCAAAGGUUGGUGCGAAUGGUGGAAAAAACACCACGUCAAACAUCCAAAGACCUAAAGGCCAACCUGGGACAGUCUGGGGUCAUGGUUUCAACAAGUAUCAUACGCCGCACACUAAACCAAACAGGGCCUUAUGGGCGAAGGCCAAGGAAGAAACCAUUGCUGAGGAAAAGACAUAAAAAGGAACGACUGAUCUUUGACAACCGCAGUCCUUCUGGGUUCUCCGUAUCACAGGAAUCAUGAAAUCAGAGAUACUAUCCAGGAUAUAAAUUCUGCAGCAAGGUCCAGUUCCUGUUUUUUUUUUUUUUUUCAUUUAUGUAAUCCCCAUAAUUUAAAUGUAAUAUGCAGUAAUGCACUGCAAUAGUAAUAUUGCAUUCAAAUUAAUUCCAGGUUUUGCUUUUUUAUGCCAUACAAAACAUUACAUCACAUAUCACUAAAUGUAAUUAAUCAGACAUUCAAUCUCCAGCUAGCUAAGUCGCUAUUGCGACUUGGCUAUUUAGACCAUGUAAGAUGGUAUGUCUAUUUGUAGGUCAGUUUGAAAAUGUAAUAGGCUGCUUCACUUUGAAAAUGCAAAACAUUGUUUCCCCCUGCGUACCCCCUACGUCCCUUUGUGUACCCCAUUUUGGGAAACACUGCUCUAAGUGACGCAAAAUGUUUUUGUCAUGGGUGUUUCAUUGGUGUUAUUUCCGUUAUGUUCUGUAGGUUAGUUGAGGUUGAGAAGGAGAGAGAGCGUACACGUUAUGACAAGCCGAAUGUAGGAUUAAGUUAGGCUGGACACUUUUUCUACCUAUAGGUUUAGUUAAAAGAGAGCAAUGCAGGCAGUUGUGAUUCUUAUCUUUCUACCUUUAUCAUCUGCUGUAAUCCAUUCCCUGCAGUACUUCUACACGGCCACAUCAGGAAUCUCAAACUUCCCAGAGUUUUUUGCAGUUGGAAAGGUUGAUGGUCUGGUCGUCAGUCAGUAUGACAGCAACACACGAAAUUGUGUUCCCAGGCAGGCAUGGAUGAAGGAGAAUCUGGAUCAGGAGUACUGGGAAUCAGAGACCAGGCUGGCUAGGACCGCUGCGGGGGCCCUCAAAGAGGGCAUUGGGAUUUUAAAGGAAUGCUUUAAACAGACUGAGGAAGGAGUGCAUGUUCUCCAGAGACAUUAUGGCUGUGAGUGGGAUGAUGAGAGCGACAUCACCAGUGGCUAUGAGGAGUAUAGUUAUGAUGGAGAGGACUUCAUCUCACUGGAUCUGAAAAACAUGAGAUGGGUGGCUGUGAAAGAACAAGCAGUCUGGAGCAAAGAGAAAUGGGACCGCUACGACUUUAAUGGCAGGAAACAGUACUUCACCCAAGAUUGCCGUGAUUGGCUGAAGAAGUAUGUUCAGUACGGGAGCAGUUCUCUCGGAUGGAAAGUCCCCCCUGAAGUGUCUCUGAUCCAGAUGUCAUCUUCUACAGUGGUGUGCCACGCCACAGGGUUCUAUCCAGCUACGGUGAAGAUCAUCUGGAGGAGAGAUGGAGAGGAGAUGCAGAAGGAUGUGCAUGUGGGAGAGACGCUGCCCAAUGGGGAUGGAACCUUCCAGAAGAGAGCUGAGCUCACAGUGUCACCUGAGGAGAGAGAGAGAAGUCUGUACAUCUGUGAGGUGGAACACGCAAGUGGACUCAUCAGGAAGACCCUGCCAACACUCAUCACCCUGACUGAGGAAGAAGGAAAAAUUCCUGUCGCCAUUAUUACAGGAUGUAUGAAUACACAUCUUGAUUUUUUUUUCCUACACGAAACCUUCCUCUUUUUUUUGUUCUUGGAUUUGCUUUUGCAGCUAGUAUUAUAGUUGUUGCCUUGAUUGCUCUUAUUGGAUUAGCGAUUAGGGCCGUGUUUUGGAUAAAGAAGUAGAAAGAGCGACUUCAAUGGCAGACCAGCAUGCUCGAUUGUGUCACACAGUUGCUCAAAUCCAUCCUCAGCUGUGGUACGGCCUUGCAUUGUUUUUACACAAAGUAAUUCCUCUGUCACUUCGAACUGGUUGUUAACACCACUGUCACGAUCCAAGACACAGCGUGCCCUCCAAGACAGCAGAGGGCACAAAGGAGGCGCCGUGAGGCCGGCUCGACCAGACUCACGAAGAAGUGAGGCGCCAUCUUUAAAAGCAACAGAAAGCUGUUUGUCAUUGCUCAUUCAUGUUCUCAUGCUAUUAGCCCUUUGUCUUGAAACACUUGUUUGCCUCUUGGAAGUGGAUACUCUGGAUCUGGAUACCCAGACUAUGAAUUACGGAUUACGAUUUGGAUUGUUUGCCGGGACUCUCUCUCUCUCACUCACGGUAUCGAACCCUGCCUGUCUUUUGAUCUUUCCCUUGCCUUGUCCACUUGGAAACCUGUGCUACACUGUUUUGAUGUUUGUGCUCUGAUCCUGGACUGCCUUGUGACCCUUGAUUAUUGGACUGUUCUGAUUUAUUUCUGAAUGGACUGAAUCCAUUGGAAUUCUAAGUUACUUAAGUGUGAAGCUAUUUGUUUAUUGCCUUUCUGAAAAGAGUAUAUUCUCUGUUGGUUAUUUCUCAGUUAUUAAAGACCAAAGAAUUGAAGUUUAAA